GGAGAGUUCAGGCCAUGUGGAUGUAUGGAGCUGGUGGUCAGUAGAAACACCCGUGGCCAUGGGGACAGCACAUACAAGGAAUCAGGCCUCCUGCUGCGUAUCUCUAGGCCUUGGGUAAGGAGCUCUUCAGAUGGGAGAUUCAAAGUAGGUGAGCCCGUCCUCUGGAGGAUGAGAAAUUCGCCUGGAGCCGCUCAGCGGGGCCUCCCGGAGCCUCUGUUAGAUCUCUGGGUUCCUGACUCCCACUUCUCUGCUCAGACCACCAGGCGACACUGCCUCUAAUGACAAAAAAAAAAAAAAAAAACCUUUUCCCAUUCCACCCCAACUAAUGCUCCAAGGACUUUCUUAAUUGCAAUGGAU
This 357-nucleotide long non-coding RNA is filed under the name Capra hircus (goat). RNAcentral describes it as "lncRNA (ENSCHIG00000007601.1)". The record is from RNAcentral. Lineage: Eukaryota; Metazoa; Chordata; Mammalia; Artiodactyla; Bovidae.